RNAcentral lists this ribosomal RNA (500 nucleotides) under uncultured bacterium. Its description in RNAcentral is "partial 16S ribosomal RNA". It matches the Rfam family "Bacterial small subunit ribosomal RNA", at positions 30 to 523 of the family's 1533-position model. The record is from RNAcentral.
AUUGAACGCUGGCGGAAUGCUUUACACAUGCAAGUCGAACGGCAGCACGGACUUCGGUCUGGUGGCGAGUGGCGAACGGGUGAGUAAUGUAUCGGAACGUGCCCAGUCGUGGGGGAUAACGUAGUGAAAAUUACGCUAAUACAGCAUACGAUCAAUGGAUGAAAGCGGGGGAUCGCAAGACCUCGAGCGAUUGGAGCGGCCGAUAUCGGAUUAGGUAGUUGGUGGGGUAAAGGACCACCAAGCCAACGAUCUGUAGCUGGUCUGAGAGGAGGACCAGCCACACUGGAACUGAGACACGGUCCAGACUCCUACGGGAGGCAGCAGUGGGGAAUUUUGGACAAUGGGCGAAAGCCUGAUCCAGCCAUUCCGCGUGCAUGAUGAAGGCCCUCGGGUUGUAAACUGCUUUUGUACAGAACGAAAAGGUUUCUACUAAUACUAGGAGCUCAUGACGGUACUGUAAGAAUAAGCACCGGCUAACUACGUGCCAGCCGCCGCCGUAA